Felis catus (domestic cat) is the source of this 2343-nucleotide long non-coding RNA. RefSeq lists it as uncharacterized. The record is from RefSeq and is a predicted model, not a curated record. The transcript is spliced from 5 exons. Lineage: Eukaryota; Metazoa; Chordata; Mammalia; Carnivora; Felidae.
GGCGCUCAGCUGGAACGUAAACCCCUGUGUCUUAAAGGGUCCCUCUCUGUGCGCGCGGUUCCGGGAAGUGCCGCUCCACCCUGCGGUUAUAUGGUCUCUGGCUGGAGGGCGCAGGCAGCCUUUGCCCUUUGAACGGAUAUACACCUUCAUCCCCCAGAACUCCAGGGAGAGGAUUACUUUCUCCCACUGCAAACUGUGCCUCUGAACUAGUUACUGAGCCUGGGACUGGCUCCCCUCCUCCCCAGAAGGGGAUCCCGCCUCUCCAUUCCUCCACUGCCGGUUUUCUCUCUCCCAGUUCUCAGUCAUGAACCUAUGGCCCACCAGUUUGUCCCAGUGGGUCCCUGGAGGCGUCUCUGUCACUUUGCUGCCUGGACUCUUGGAGUUCAAAGUUCCUUUGGCCUCAACGCUGCUGUGUUUGCAAGAGGAGGGACCUUCAUAUCCCCCUACUUCUCCGCCAUGUUGGAUCCCUCUGGCACGCAAGCUCUUAUUCCAAGUAUUUGAGUUCUAACCCCAGAUGGCUGAAUCAUCAAGUGCAUUGGUUGGUGCCUUGCAAAUUAGACUGACAGAAGACAGAUUAACAGGGCACUCCAUUUUCAGAAGAGGAAUAUUCAAGGGUCAUGCUGGAGUUAAGAAAUUCAGUGUCCAGAUGUUUCAGAAUCCAGAUGGCCUAUGAAUCCUCUAUCACCCAGAAAGGAGGAAAAUAUGCAUGAAAGUGGAACACUGAAAAGAAAAAAAAUAAUUUAGUGUUGGCAAUGUAAUGGCGACAUACAGGGCUCAAGGAAAAGCUUCCUUUCCUAAAGCAGCAACUUAAUAAAGUGCAUGUUGUAGGCUCUAUCAGCAAGCCAAAUUUUCAUCCCUGCCUCUUCUUUCCAUCACCAUUAAGAGGCUUGCAGAGAUCCACACUGUUUAAAGGGCAGACAGCAUGGAAGAACUAUCAUGUACAAUUUAAAGUAGCAGCUAAAAUUGGAAUGGUCACAAGAAAGCCUGUUUCUUUGCAAUUAAAUUGACAAGCUGUCUAUGAUUACCCUAGGGAACUUGGCAGCUGAGUGAUAAAAAGACUGCAGAGUGUUGAAAGGUCUAACACAACAUACUAGGUGGACAAAGACCACAUCUGCUUAAUAUACUGAUUGGGAGAGUUCUGGAAUGUACUUGGCUAAAUUAGCCGAGGAGGGAUACUAAUGAUACUUUUUCCUCUCUAAGAUCCUCUGCUCAGAACCCAUUUCAGAAAUUACCCACAAAUAUUUGGAAGCAUGCCUUAUAAAUAGUAUAGUGCAAUACCUGAUGUUAUUUUGCAUGAACCUAUCAUUACAAAUCACCAGAAGAAAUGAGCAGAAGUUUAGAAAGAAAUAAUAAUAAAAAAACUCUUCCAUCAAAUGUUUUUGAAAUAUGUGUACACACACACACACACACACACACACACACAUGUUUUCCUAUACAAAUUAGUCUCCCAAAAAAAGAUUUAUAAUGAUAUCAAGGACUAAAGAGUUGAACAACCAUAGGUAAUUUAAUGCAGAAUAUUAAGUGAGAAUUACAUGGUAUUUUCAUUGUUGAGUGUCCUUUGUGUUGGGCAAAGCUGGAACUUAGGUUACAAAGGAGAAAACAAUAACCAGAUUUUUGAUGGUAGCAAUUUGUGAGGACUAACACACCCAUUUCAGCAAUGUCUUCUUAAUUUUAGUUAGUGCAUUCCUUAAAGGAGAAAAUGCACAUACAAAUGUGAAGGUUUCUUUGGAUACAUUUCAUAGGUAUUAAUAGUACUCGACACUAAAUAAAUAAGUGAUGGCCAUAUCUACUUGCCCACCUGUCCUUUCUGAAGGCUAAGGACCAUUUAUCUCAGCAAACUUGGAAAGUAGUUUCCAUUUCCACAGUAGGAUUACCCUAAACAAAAUUUCUGAAGCAGAAGUCCAUUGUAUACUACCUUGGCACUCACUUAAAAAACCAGAGAAUCCCCAAUUAGCUUGUUAAUGCUGUCUGGUCUUUGAGACCAUGUGAUACUUCAGCAAAAUUAUUCAAAGCUCAAAGUCACUCAAAUGCUCAAUGACUCCAACAUUAGAUAAAGAUUCUUAACAUCACUAAUUAUUAGGAAAAUGCAGAUCGAAACCACAAUAAGAUAUUGUUCACAUCUGCCAGAAUGACUAUUAUCAAAAAGGUAGGAAAUAACAAGUGUUGGAGAAGAUGUGGAAGCAAAGGGAACCUGUGAACACUGUGGGUGGGAUUGUGAUUGAUGUAGCUACUAUGGAAAACAGUAUGGAGAUUCCUCAAAAAAAAAAAAAAAAUUAAGAGUAGAAACACCAUAUGGUCCAGCUGUUUGACUUCUGGGUAUUUAUCUGAAGAAUAUGAAAACAC